CUACGUGCCAGCAGCCGCGGUAAUACGGAAGGUCCGGGCGUUAUCCGGAUUUAUUGGGUUUAAAGGGAGCGUAGGCUGGAGAUUAAGUGUGUUGUGAAAUGUAGACGCUCAACGUCUGAAUUGCAGCGCGAACUGGUUCACUUGAGUAUGCACAACGUAGGCGGAAUUCGUCGUGUAGCGGUGAAAUGCUUAGAUAUGACGAAGAACUCCGAUUGCGAAGGCAGCUUACGGGAGCACAACUGACGCUGAAGCUCGAAGGUGCGGGUAUCAAACAGGAUUAGAUACCCUGGUAGUCCGCACAGUAAACGAUGGAUGCCCGUUGUUAGUUCACUUAUGAAUUAGCGACCAAGCGAAAGCAUUAAGCAUCCCACCUGGGGAGUACGCCGGCAACGGUGAAACUCAAAGGAAUUGACGGGGGCCCGCACAAGCGGAGGAACAUGUGGUUUAAUUCGAUGAUACGCGAGGAACCUUACCCGGGCUUGAAUUGCAGACGAACGAUUCAGAGA
RNAcentral lists this ribosomal RNA (506 nucleotides) under uncultured bacterium. RNAcentral describes it as "bacterial SSU rRNA". It matches the Rfam family "Bacterial small subunit ribosomal RNA", at positions 501 to 1006 of the family's 1533-position model. The record is from RNAcentral.